AAGCGGACAUUCAAGGGGACAGAAUCCUCCCCCAGGUCAAUAGACUGGACAAGGCAGUGGGUGGUCCAGUCCCACACAUUCAGGCGGCGGCCAUAGCGGUCUACAGAGGAAAAGAGAAGAAUCAGCUCAAUUUCUUGUGAAAUUCAGGGUUGACCCCUUCUACGAGAAAUUUGGGGAUCGCCAGUUCAGUGCUGAAUAAGACGUUAUGCCUUGGUUUGUACCAGAAGUCAUAUCCUAAUGGAGCCUCAUCCCCAGGGCGGUUCCAGAUUUCUUUGCAAUCCAUUUCCCUGGCUUGCAAUCUCAGAAGAUGGCUGGGCCUACCUUGAACAGGCAGGGAACUCGGGGGUCAGUCCCAGUGUCCACCACAUAAAUCCGCGAAGAGUUGAAACACGGAAGGACCAGCCGGUUGCGUUUCUUGGUGGUGUCUCCAAAGGUGCUACUGCAAAUGUUCCAGC
Molecule: long non-coding RNA, 455 nt
Organism: Ahaetulla prasina
Lineage: Eukaryota; Metazoa; Chordata; Lepidosauria; Squamata; Colubridae
Exons: 3
Source: RefSeq, a predicted model, not a curated record